UCUCCCAUCCUAACGCGAUCGCAAGCGAUCUUCGACCCGAUACCCGCUCGACCCAAGCACGAAGCUUUUUCGCACUCGGCUUGCGAAGUCGUCCUUCGUCUCUUCGCAGCUCCGAGCUCGACCUCCGAUCAGUGCUUCCAUGUCGCAGGAGGAAGCGGCCGUUGCGGCGAUAAGGCAUGCUCUGAGGGCCCUGCGGAAGCGGCAUUUGGUCGAGGAGGGCGCCCAUGGACCCGCCAUCGCUGCCCUCUCGCGUCCCAUCCUCUCGCAGAGUUCCGAGUGGAAAGAGAAGGCUGAGGCUUUGGAAGUGGAGCUUCAGCAAUGUUAUAAAGCUCAAUCGCGACUGUCGGAGCAGCUUGUGGUGGAGGUUGCGGAGUCCAGGGCAUUGAAAUCUCUGUUGCAAGAGAAAGAGGCUGCAAUGAGUUCUCUGCAACUGGAGUUGACCGAUGCAAGGAAUGAAUGCUCACAAUUGAAGGCAGAUUUGGAAGAGAAAAUUAAAGCCGUAGAAUUGCUUAUAAGUGAGAUCCAGGAGCUCAAGCGGCAACUGGAAAUCAUGACUGUAAAAGCUAAGAACGCAGAAGCUGAGAAUAAGAUGCUAGUAGAUCGAUGGAUGUUACAAAAGAUGCAGGAUGCUGAACGCCUUAAUGAGGCAAAUGCUCUUUAUGAAGAUAUGGUUGACCGCCUAAGGGCUAGCGGUUUAGAAAGUUUUGCUAGGCAACAAGUUGAUGGCGUGGUACGCCGAAGUGAAGAGGGUGCUGAAUUCUUUGCCGAAUCAACCGUUCCUUCUUCAUGUAAGCAUAGGAUUCAUGCCCAUGAAGGCGGGUGUGCUUCUAUCGCAUUUGAGUAUAAUUCUGGUAGGUUGAUUAGUGGUGGACAGGACAGGACAAUAAAAAUGUGGGAUACAAGAACUGGAUCAUUGAGUCGCACACUUUACGGUUGCCUUGGUUCAGUUCUUGAUCUUACUCUUACGCAUGAUAACAGAUCUGUCAUUGCAGCAAGCAGCUCAAAUAAUUUGUACGUGUGGGAUGUUAACUCAGGACGUGUCCAACAUACCUUAACAGGCCACACCGAUAAAGUUUGUGCAGUAGAUGUAAGCAAGUUCUCCAGCCGUCAUUUAGUGAGCGCAGCUUAUGAUCGUACCAUCAAAAUUUGGGAUUUGCAGAAAGGUUACUGCAAUAACACAAUCAUCUUUCCCAGCAACUGCAAUGCACUUAGCUUCAGCAUGGAUGGGCUUACUAUAUGUUCUGGCCAUGUGGAUGGCAACCUUCGUUUGUGGGAUAUUCAAACAGGGAAGUUGCUAAGUGAAGUUGCCGCACAUGCGCUUGCUAUCACAUCCAUCUCUCUUUCGCGAAAUGGAAAUGUAGUUUUAACCAGUGGAAGAGACAAUUUGCAUAAUCUAUUUGAUAUGAGGUCACUCGAAGUUUGCGGGACAUUAAGAGCUUCUGGAAAUAGAGUUGCCUCUAACUGGAGCAGGUCCUGUAUCAGCCCAGAUGACGGCUAUGUAGCUGCUGGGUCUGCUGAUGGAGCUGUUUAUAUAUGGUCUAUAUCAAAAGCUGAUAUUGUGACCACACUAAAGGAGCAUGGUGCUCCAGUACUAUGUUGUUCGUGGAGUGGUCUUGGGAAACCAUUGUGCUCGGCAGAUAAAAAUGGAAUCAUUUGUACAUGGACAUAGUGGUUUUGCUCUCAUACAUGUAAAUAUGCCUUGGUGACCACGGAAUUCAAUCCCAGUUUGGGGAAUUCUUUAACACACAACGGUUGACGAUGGGCGCAGAAGUUUGGAUUAAUUCGAUGAUUGACCACUAUCUUGGAGUUCAUUGUUCGGUCCACCCCACGGCGGUAGGCUGCUGAUACUCAGUUUUAUGCGCUGCCUCCUCGAGAGCUUUAUAACCCAGGGGAGGUUCGAUGGCUUCGAUGCGGAUAUCAAUUGAAGCGGGAACAGAGCUCCUUACUCUCACGGGGGAUUAGGGGAUUUAACGGUAUGCGAUUAACACUUUUGGUACUGUACUUAACGGCCAUAUAAUUGAUGAUUAACUAUCAGAACCAAGUGUUUGGGAUAAGCUCUUCCAUCA
Syzygium oleosum is the source of this 2066-nucleotide RNA transcript. It is a transcript of the gene named autophagy-related protein 16, with no coding region annotated. The transcript has 6 exons. Lineage: Eukaryota; Viridiplantae; Streptophyta; Magnoliopsida; Myrtales; Myrtaceae. The record is from RefSeq and is a predicted model, not a curated record.